Molecule: ribosomal RNA, 468 nt
Filed under: uncultured bacterium
Lineage: Bacteria
Description: partial 16S ribosomal RNA
Rfam family: Bacterial small subunit ribosomal RNA
Source: RNAcentral
GACGAACGCUGGCGGCGUGCUUAACACAUGCAAGUCGAACGGAAAGGCCCUGCUUUUGUGGGGUGCUCGAGUGGCGCACGGGUGCGUAACACGUGAGUAUCCUGCCCUUGACUUUGGGAUAAAUUCAGGAAACUGGGGCUAAUACCGUAUAGGAGCUCCUGCUGCUUGGUGGGGAUUGGAACGUUUAGGCGGUUGGGGAUGUACUCGCGGCUUAUCAGCUUGUUGGUGGGGUAGUGGCUUACCAAGGCAUUGACGGGUAGCCGGCCUGGGAGGGUGACAGGCCAAAUUGGGACUGCGAUCCGGCCCAGACUCCUACGGGAGACACCAGGGGGAAAUAUUGAACAAUGCGCGGAAGCCUGAUGCAUCAACGCCGCGUGCGGCAUGACGGCCUUAGGGUUGUAAACCGCUUUAGCCUGAGACGAAGCGUGAGUGACGGUAAUAGGUAAAGAAGCACCGGCUAACUCCGUG